This 253-nucleotide ribosomal RNA is filed under the name uncultured bacterium. Its description in RNAcentral is "partial 16S ribosomal RNA". It matches the Rfam family "Bacterial small subunit ribosomal RNA", at positions 524 to 776 of the family's 1533-position model. The record is from RNAcentral.
UACAGAGGGUGCGAGCGUUACUCGGCAUUACGGGGAGUAAAGCGCACGUAGGUGGCGACGUAAGUCGGGUGUGAAAGCCCCGGGCUCAACCUGGGAAUUGCAUUCGAGACUGCAUUGCUGGAGUACGGAAGAGGAGGGCGGAAUUCCCGGAGUAGCGGUGAAAUGCGUAGAUAUCGGGAGGAACAUCAGUGGCGAAGGCGGCCCUCUGGUCCAGUACUGACACUCAAGUGCGAAAGCGUGGGGAGCAAACAGG